Molecule: long non-coding RNA, 235 nt
Filed under: Lathyrus oleraceus (garden pea)
Lineage: Eukaryota; Viridiplantae; Streptophyta; Magnoliopsida; Fabales; Fabaceae
Description: Pisum sativum (pea) long non-coding RNA (PSAT_LNC000825)
Source: RNAcentral
CAUCUCUCGCGUGAAAUCUCAGCCCUUCCUUAUUAUUCAAUUAAUUAAUUGAAAAGAUAAUUGGAAGGUGGGGAUUUCCACUGCACUCCAUCCAGUGAAAAUGUCACUAGAGACGAUCCAUCCCCCUCAUCUCUGAUAUCAAUGUAAAAAAAGAAAAAAAUGUGAUAGGAAGAAAAGAAAAAAAAACAUAGACAAAUCCUCUUCUUCUUUGAGUGUGACAUUCACCUAUCAUACC